AGUGAACGCUGGCGGUAGGCCUAACACAUGCAAGUCGAACGGCAGCACAGUAAGAGCUUGCUCUUACGGGUGGCGAGUGGCGGACGGGUGAGGAAUACAUCGGAAUCUACUUUUUCGUGGGGGAUAACGUAGGGAAACUUACGCUAAUACCGCAUACGACCUACGGGUGAAAGCAGGGGAUCUUCGGACCUUGCGCGGUUGAAUGAGCCGAUGUCGGAUUAGCUAGUUGGCGGGGUAAAGGCCCACCAAGGCGACGAUCCGUAGCUGGUCUGAGAGGAUGAUCAGCCACACUGGAACUGAGACACGGUCCAGACUCCUACGGGAGGCAGCAGUGGGGAAUAUUGGACAAUGGGCGCAAGCCUGAUCCAGCCAUGCCGCGUGGGUGAAGAAGGCCUUCGGGUUGUAAAGCCCUUUUGUUGGGAAAGAAAAGCAGCAGGUUAAUACCCCGCUGUUCUGACGGUACCCAAAGAAUAAGCACCGGCUAACUUCGUG
Molecule: ribosomal RNA, 492 nt
Filed under: uncultured bacterium
Lineage: Bacteria
Description: partial 16S ribosomal RNA
Rfam family: Bacterial small subunit ribosomal RNA
Source: RNAcentral